GAUGAACGCUGGCGGCGUGCCUAAUACAUGCAAGUAGAACGCUGAAGGAGGAGCUUGCUCUUCUGGAUGAGUUGCGAACGGGUGAGUAACGCGUAGGUAACCUGCCUGGUAGCGGGGGAUAACUAUUGGAAACGAUAGCUAAUACCGCAUGACAACAGUUAUUGCAUGAUAACUGUUUAAAAGGGGCAACUGCUCCACUACCAGAUGGACCUGCGUUGUAUUAGCUAGUUGGUGAGGUAACGGCUCACCAAGGCGACGAUACAUAGCCGACCUGAGAGGGUGAUCGGCCACACUGGGACUGAGACACGGCCCAGACUCCUACGGGAGGCAGCAGUAGGGAAUCUUCGGCAAUGGACGGAAGUCUGACCGAGCAACGCCGCGUGAGAGAAGAAGGUUUUCGGAUCGUAAAGCUCUGUUGUAAGAGAAGAACGAGUGUGAGAGUGGAAAGUUCACACUGUGACGGUAUCUUAACAGAAAGGGACGGCUAACUACGUG
Molecule: ribosomal RNA, 495 nt
Filed under: uncultured bacterium
Lineage: Bacteria
Description: partial 16S ribosomal RNA
Rfam family: Bacterial small subunit ribosomal RNA
Source: RNAcentral